AUACGGAGGGGGCUAGCGUUGUUCGGAAUUACUGGGCGUAAAGCGCAUGUAGGUGGUGUGGCAAGUUAGAGGUGAAAGGCCUGGGCUCAACCUGGGAACUGCCUUUAAUACUGUCACGCUAGAGUUCGGGAGAGGGUAGCGGAAUUCCAAGUGUAGAGGUGAAAUUCGUAGAUAUUUGGAAGAACACCGGUGGCGAAGGCGGCUACCUGGACCGACACUGACACUGAGAUGCGAAAGCGUGGUGAGCGAACAGGAUUAGAUACCCUAGUAGUCC
RNAcentral lists this ribosomal RNA (274 nucleotides) under uncultured bacterium. RNAcentral describes it as "partial 16S ribosomal RNA". It matches the Rfam family "Bacterial small subunit ribosomal RNA", at positions 523 to 796 of the family's 1533-position model. The record is from RNAcentral.